GGGUGUAGCUCAGUGGUAGAGGGCAUGCUUAGCAUGCACAAGGUUCUGGGUUCGAUCCCCAGUACCUCCG
RNAcentral lists this transfer RNA (70 nucleotides) under Camelus bactrianus (Bactrian camel). It matches the Rfam family "tRNA". From Rfam's summary of the family: Transfer RNA (tRNA) molecules are approximately 80 nucleotides in length. Their secondary structure includes four short double-helical elements and three loops (D, anti-codon, and T loops). RNAcentral also lists the same sequence under 2 other names. The record is from Rfam by way of RNAcentral. Lineage: Eukaryota; Metazoa; Chordata; Mammalia; Artiodactyla; Camelidae.